This is a long non-coding RNA of Acromyrmex echinatior (Panamanian leafcutter ant), 521 nucleotides long. RefSeq lists it as uncharacterized. The record is from RefSeq and is a predicted model, not a curated record. NCBI's taxonomy places the organism in Eukaryota, Metazoa, Arthropoda, Insecta, Hymenoptera, Formicidae.
GGUAACGUGGCCCCGGAAUAUUGUAUAUGUAUUACACUCUGCACGCACGCCUGCGUAACACCGUUGCUACAACGACACCGAUAAAGGAAGGAGGAAGACAAACUGAGUCAUCUAUGGAUUAGAUAGAAUUUCUUUUAAAAAUUUGAUUCAAGAGUUUUUUAGCCUGUGUACGUGAGAAGAGGGCUGUAGCAACGCUGGCUGUGGCAACAAGGGAAAGUGGAAUUUGGGCUACACGCAGGAGUGCGCGCGAGCGAGCGAGCGAAUGGAUUUCGUGGGGAUGCAAGACACUGGAGCACUCGACAGACGGGGAAUGACGGUAAAUGACGUAAGAUAAGAUAAGGCAAGGUGAGGUUUGGUGAGCUGAGAGAGGCUCCUUAUGGACAUCCUUAUAAGGUUGCGGCGCCCACGUGCGUGCGGUUCUCGACGACUCGCGGUGCGCUUUCGGACAAGAACUAUACAAGUCUUUCUGCCUUUUUUUUCCAGCUAUGUACACGAAGGAGCUUGUACCUUGAAUAGCGUGA